UACAGAGGGUGCGAGCGUUGUUCGGAAUUAUUGGGCGUAAAGGGCGCGUAGGCGGCGCGGUAAGUCACCUGUGAAAUCUCCUGGCUCAACUGGGAGCUUGCAGGCGAAACUGCCGUGCUGGAGUGUGGGAGAGGUGCGUGGAAUUCCUGGUGUAGCGGUGAAAUGCGUAGAGAUCGGAAAGAACACCAACGGCGAAAGCACUCUGCUGGGCCGACACUGACACUGAGAGACGAAAGCUAGGGGAGCGAAUGGG
Molecule: ribosomal RNA, 253 nt
Filed under: uncultured bacterium
Lineage: Bacteria
Description: partial 16S ribosomal RNA
Rfam family: Bacterial small subunit ribosomal RNA
Source: RNAcentral